GUCUAGCUUGAUCUGAUGGCCUAGCCUCUGGCCCAGCCCCUGCAGAGGCAUCAGUGCUCGAGCCCAUCCAGGGAUGGAAGCCCAGCCAGCAUGGUCCCCCACACGCAGGAAGGUAGUGCUGAGAUCCUGGCUUUCCCAUCACACAGGCCAUGGAGGGCGAAGUCAAUGUGUGCUACAAGGAGCUGUGUGGCCCUUGGCCCAGCCACCAGCUGUUGACCAACCAGCUGCAGCGGCUGUGUGUGCUGCUGGAUGUUUACCUGGAGACCGAGAGCCACGACGACAGUGUGGAGGGGCCCAAGGAAUUUCCCCAGGAGAAGAUGUGUCUGCGGCUCUUCAGGGGUCCCAGCAGGAUGAAGCCGUUUAAAUACAACCAUCCUCAGGGAUUCUUCAGCCAUCGCUGACCUCCCGCCCAGCCCGUUGUUUCCCCCAAGGCCUCACCCUGAGCACUGGGCUUCUUCUUUCUGCUCUGGCCCACAUGUGACUCUUGAUAUUCUCCAAAGACACCAGCCGAUUAAAAAGCGUCACCUGA
This 529-nucleotide small RNA is filed under the name Pongo abelii (Sumatran orangutan). Its description in RNAcentral is "retained intron". Lineage: Eukaryota; Metazoa; Chordata; Mammalia; Primates; Hominidae. The record is from RNAcentral.